CAAUAGCGUAUAUUAAAGUUGUUGCAGUUAAAAAGCUCGUAGUUGGAUCUCAGGUCCAGGCUUGCGGUCCACUCCUUGGUGGCUACUGCUCGUCCUGACCUACCUCCCGGUUUUACCCUUGGUGCUCUUGAUUGAGUGUCUCGGGUGGCCGGAACAUUUACUUUGAAAAAUUAGAGUGUUCAAAGCAGGCGUUUGCUUGAAUAUAUUAGCAUGGAAUAAUGGAAUAGGACGCUGGUUCUAUUUUGUUGGUUUUGAGAACCAGAGUAAUGAUUAAUAGGGACAGUUGGGGGCAUUCAUAUUUUCAUUGUCAGAGGUGAAAUUUCUUGGAUUUGUUAAAGACGGACUACUGCGAAAGCAUUUGCCAAGGAUGUUUUCAUUGAUCAAGAACGAAAGUUAGGGGAUCGAAGACGAUUAGAUACC
This 420-nucleotide ribosomal RNA is filed under the name uncultured eukaryote. RNAcentral's name for it is "bacterial SSU rRNA". It matches the Rfam family "Eukaryotic small subunit ribosomal RNA", at positions 592 to 1016 of the family's 1831-position model. The record is from RNAcentral.